Molecule: ribosomal RNA, 446 nt
Filed under: uncultured bacterium
Lineage: Bacteria
Description: SSU rRNA
Rfam family: Bacterial small subunit ribosomal RNA
Source: RNAcentral
AGAGCGAACGCUGGCGGCAGGCCUAAUACAUGCAAGUCGAACGGAUCCUUCGGGAUUAGUGGCGGACGGGUGAGUAACACGUGGGAACGUACCCUUUGGUUCGGAACAACUCAGGGAAACUUGAGCUAAUACCGAAUGUGCCCUUCGGGGAAAGAUUUAUCGCCAUUGGAGCGGCCCGCGUCUGAUUAGCUAGUUGGUAGGGUAAAGGCCUACCAAGGCUACGAUCAGUAGCUGGUCUGAGAGGAUGAUCAGCCACACUGGGACUGAGACACGGCCCAGACUCCUACGGGAGGCAGCAGUAGGGAAUCUUGCGCAAUGGGCGAAAGCCUGACGCAGCCAUGCCGCGUGAAUGAUGAAGGUCUUAGGAUUUGUAAAAUUCUUUCAGCGGGGACGAUAAUGACGGUACCCGCAGAAGAAGCCCCGGCUAACUUCGUGCCAGCAGCCGC